CCCUACGGGGUGCAGCAGGCGCGAAACCUUUACAAUGCACGAAAGUGUGAUAAGGGAAUCCCAAGUGCUUAUGCUUUGCAUAGGCUUUUGCCAAGAGUAAAUAUCUUGGCGAAUAAGCAGUGGGUAAGACUGGUGCCAGCAGCCGCGGUAACACCAGCGCUGCAAGUAGCAAUCAUGAUUAUUGGGCCUAAAGCGUCCGUAGCCGGUUUGAUAAGUCUUUUGUGAAAUCGUUGCGCUUAACGUAACGGUAUGCAAAAGAUACUGUUGAACUUGAAACUGGAAGGAGUUAGGGGUAUUCUAAGGGGAGCGGUAAAAUGCUAUAAUCCUUAGAAGACCACCUGUGGCGAAAGCGCCUAACUAGUACAGCUUUGACGGUGAGGGACGAAAGCCAGGGGAGCGAACCGGAUUAGAUACCCGAGUAGUCCUGGCCAUAAACUCUGCGAGCAAGGUGUUACAUAUUCUUCGUGAAUGUGUAGUGUCGAAAUGAAGAUGUUAAGCUCGCCGCCUGGGAAGUAUGGUCGCAAGACUGAAACUUAAAGGAAUUGGCGGGGGAGCAC
RNAcentral lists this ribosomal RNA (557 nucleotides) under uncultured archaeon. Its description in RNAcentral is "bacterial SSU rRNA". It matches the Rfam family "Archaeal small subunit ribosomal RNA", at positions 321 to 879 of the family's 1478-position model. The record is from RNAcentral.